This 497-nucleotide ribosomal RNA is filed under the name uncultured bacterium. Its description in RNAcentral is "partial 16S ribosomal RNA". It matches the Rfam family "Bacterial small subunit ribosomal RNA", at positions 28 to 507 of the family's 1533-position model. The record is from RNAcentral.
GAUGAACGCUGGCGGCGUGCCUAAUACAUGCAAGUCGAGCGAACAGACGCUUAGCUUGCUCCUCUGACGUUUGCGGCUGUCGGGUGAGUAACACGUGUAUAACCUACCUAUUAUACUUGUAUAACUUCGUGAAUCCGGAGCUAAUACCGGCUCAUAUAUUGAACCGCAUGGUUCUUUAGUGUAUGACGUUUUUUCUGUCUCUUUUAGAUGUUUCCUCGACGCAUUAGCUAGUUGGUAAGGUAACGGCUUACCAAGGCUACGAUGCGUAGCCGACGUGAGAGGGUGAGCGGACAAACUGGAACUGAGACACGGAAAAGACACCGACGGGAGGCAGCAGUAGGGAAUGUUCCGCAAUGGGCGAAAGCUUGACGGAGAAACGCCGCGUGAGUGAUGAAGGUCUUCGGAUCGUAAAACUCUGUUAUUAGGGAAGAAAAAAUGUGUAAGUAACUAUGAACGGAUUGACGGUAACGAAUAAGAAAGCAACGGCUAACUACGUG